RNAcentral lists this ribosomal RNA (291 nucleotides) under Cryptosporidium canis. RNAcentral's name for it is "partial 18S ribosomal RNA". It matches the Rfam family "Eukaryotic small subunit ribosomal RNA", at positions 465 to 784 of the family's 1831-position model. The record is from RNAcentral. Lineage: Eukaryota; Apicomplexa; Conoidasida; Eucoccidiorida; Cryptosporidiidae.
UAGUGACAAGAAAUAACAAUACAGGACUUUAACAGUUUUGUAAUUGGAAUGAGUUGAGUAUAAACCCCUUUACAAGUAUCAAUUGGAGGGCAAGUCUGGUGCCAGCAGCCGCGGUAAUUCCAGCUCCAAUAGCGUAUAUUAAAGUUGUUGCAGUUAAAAAGCUCGUAGUUGGAUUUCUGUUAAUAAUUUAUAUAUAAUAUUUAACAUAUUUAUAUAAUAUUAACAUAAUUCAUAUUACUAUUUAUAGUAUAUGAAACUUUACUUUGAGAAAAUUAGAGUGCUUAAAGCAGG